Molecule: ribosomal RNA, 474 nt
Filed under: uncultured bacterium
Lineage: Bacteria
Description: bacterial SSU rRNA
Rfam family: Bacterial small subunit ribosomal RNA
Source: RNAcentral
GACGAACGCUGGCGGCGUGCUUAACACAUGCAAGUCGAACGGAGUUGAGGAGCUUGCUCCUCAACUUAGUGGCGAACGGGUGAGUAACGCGUGAGGAACCUGCCUUUCAGUGGGGACGAACAGUUGGAACGACUGCUAAUACCGCAUGAUACUAUUGAGUGGCAUCACUUGAUAGUCAAAGCUUUAUGUGCUGAAGAUGGUCUCGCGUCUGAUUAGCUAGUUGGUGGGGUAACGGCCCACCAAGGCGACGAUCAGUAGCCGACCUGAGAGGGUGAUCGGCCACAUUGGAACUGAGACACGGUCCAAACUCCUACGGGAGGCAGCAGUGGGGGAAUAUUGCACAAUGGGCGAAAGCCUGAUGCAGCAACGCCGCGUGAAGGAUGAAGGCCUUCGGUCGGUAAACUUACUGUCCUUGGGAAGAAGAACUGACGGUACCCUUGGAGGAAGCCCCGGCUAACUACGUGCCAGCAGCCG